GGGGAAGGGUUUAUUUGGGUAAAUGUUAGGUUAAAAACCGUGUUUGAUACCAAACAAAAUAAAUAAUUAAAAUAGUUAUUUAACUAUUUUGUUUUUAUUGAUUCUUUUGUUGUCAGGUCAAAGAAAUAAUUGUGCAAUAUUUCAGCUUGAUCCGACAUAGGGUUUCAGAUAAGUACACAUGUUUUCCCAGACAGACUAAGAAACAGACAGAUUGAGAUUAUGUAAGCUUUGUAAAGACUAAAUGACGUGUGUAUAGAUAAGGACUGGAUCUUAAGACCAAAUCUAGACCGAACCAAAGAAAUAUCAUUGUGUGAGAAAGGGAACUACUACAUUGUGAGAAAUGGUUUCUCUACUGGACUGUUCUAAGGAAGAGACAAACAUAGUUUAUUCUUACACGUUACAUCAGGGGGUGGGGGAGACAAACAAGGACUAAAAUAGAAAGGGGAUUUCCAGGAGACUAAUUUUUUUUCGGCCAAAAUGGAGUAGGGGGAGGGAUGCAAAAAAAUAGUGUUCUGGUAAAAAAAAAAUCAACCUAGCGAAGCACGGGUAUCAACUAUUAUGUGUUAACGGCAAAUUGCGAAAUCCGUAUUCUAGAAAUAACUGUUUCAUAAUUUACCUAGACAUUAUAAAGAAUGACGAUUAUAUCGUAUUCAGACUGAGAAUGAAACCUCGCUUGAAAGUAUAGUAAUAGUAUAUGUUUCUUGAAUGAUUUUUGAAUUGGAAAGUAUUUUGUGAUCAUUUUAAAAGUUUCAAAUUCGUUUUAAUUACGAGUGUGUAAACUGAGCCACAACCUUAUUGUGGGGUUGUGUCAAUUGAUGAUAACAGAUGGCCCAUAGACAGGUCUAGAAAUAAUAGAAGAAUAUAUUUAAAAAAUCUCCUACCAUCAGUAACCAUCUCGUUCUGAAGCCUCCUGCAGUCAGAUACCCUCGUCUAUGUCAGUGCAAGUCAUUGCCUAAGCUGGUCUUUAAAGCGUUUCUGUGGGACAUCUCUGUUACGUUUACGACUUUUCAGCUAAAAAAAAAAAAGGCUGCCUUUUGCAAACGUUCUUCCCCCCCCUCCCCCUCCCAAAAGGGAUAGUGCUUUCUCUAUCGUAACUGUCGGACCAUAAGAACUCUCUCAUACUGUCCAUACCGGCGUUCGGUAGACAUUACUAUUUGUAGUGCGGUCUUGCCACCGUAUGUCCAUGAUGGAGUGCAAACAUGUUUGGUGAAAGCGUUUAAGAAGUCUUAGUUGCUUUCUGUAUAGUACCCGUGUGUCAGAUCCAUAUAGAAGGGUUGAGAGAACCACUGCUUGGUAGACCGUAGACACUGACUUUUUUUUGUCCAAAAUAUGAUUUGAUAAGUCUUUUUUUAGAAUACUAACGCAUUGUUUUUAAGUCGUUCUGCUAUUUUAUUUUGCUAAAAGUCAAAAAGUCCAUGUUUUACCCAAGAGAUAUUGCAUUACUUCGUACUAAAGAUUUAAUGAAUAUACUAAUUGCAAUAUUAAUGUCUGAACGUAACCAUUUGAGAAGUUACACUGCAAAAAUUUUCUUAUAAGCCAAUAAUAGCCUAAUACUUUUAGCCGAAAGAUGGAAUGUAAACUACACUAUAUCUUAUCUUAUGAAAUACAGACGUUACAUCAAAAAAAGAAAAUGAUUACGUCCUACGCAUAUUCUGUAAGGGGACUUAAGAGACUUUCUAUUCUAAUCGCCAUGUACAUUAACAUUUAGAACGAAACAAAAACACGAAAGCAACUCUUUUCCCGAUCGCUCAUUUUGGUCAUUACAAAAAUGUUUCCAAAAUAAGUAAAAGUCUUUCCUCGACAAAUGAUUCAACUAAGCGAGGCUCGGUCACCUGGUAUUAUAGAAAUGAACCAAUGAACCCAAUAAGCCUAUUUUCUUUCAGUUUGUGUGAAAUGGGCUACUGAUUGACAGGUAACAAGGCGGGGGCGCGGGUUAUAGUUAGUACUAAUAUCAUGUAUACAGGUCACUGAGGUCAAGUACUAAUAUCAUGUAUACAGGUCACUGAGGUCAAGUACUAAUAUCAUGUAUACAGGUCACUGAGGUCAGCACUACAGUAUAGGACUAUCAUAAUGAACACAUUAAAAUCCAAACUACCAAAAAGCUAAUAGUCUUUUUUUUUUUUUAUUUGAAUGUGUUGUUACCUCUCUCCAUUGUUGCUAUGUUACUAACAGGGUUCUGUUCCAAUGAUUGGUGUCCAUGUUACUAACAGGGUUCUGUUCCAAUGAUUGGUGUCCAUGUUACUAACAGGGUUCUGUUCCAAUGAUUGGUGUCCAUGUUACUAACAGGGUUCUGUUCCAAUGAUUGGUGUCCAUGUUACUAACAGGGUUCUGUUCCAAUGAUUGGUGUCCAUGUUACUAACAGGGUUCUGUUCCAGUGAUUGGUGUCCAUGUUACUAACAGGGUUCUGUUCCAAUGAUUGGUGUCCAUGUUACUAACAGGGUUCUGUUCCAAUGAUUGGUGUCCAUGUUACUAACAGGGUUCUGUUCCAAUGAUUGGUGUCCAUGUUACUAACAGGGUUCUGUUCCAAUGAUUGGUGUCCAUGUUUAGGGAACUGUCGACCUGUUGACUUUAUUGACACCUAGCUAGAACAAGAGCAAUCUAUAUUUUGUUUUAAAAGGAGGGUUGGGGUCAUUCCUACUCUUGUUAAUUGACUUGUCAUUCCUACUCUUGUUAAUUGACUUGUCAUUCCUACUCUUGUUAAUUGACCUUUGACCUGGCCGCCUGGAAAACUUUGACCGUUAGCUCGUGCUCUCUUCUGCUGGAUAAAAUUCUUGGACGUCGAGUUUCUGGCGUGACCGCAGCUCGUGCCGCUUGCUUUGACUUCGAACAACACUUCUGCGAUAAACAGUCUCGUCACGAGCGGCAGACAAAAAGCUCA
Long non-coding RNA from Biomphalaria glabrata, 2878 nucleotides. RefSeq lists it as uncharacterized. Lineage: Eukaryota; Metazoa; Mollusca; Gastropoda; Planorbidae. The transcript is spliced from 2 exons. The record is from RefSeq and is a predicted model, not a curated record.